UACGUAGGGAGCAAGCGUUGUCCGGAAUCAUUGGGCGUAAAGCGCGUGUAGGCGGCCCGAUAAGUCCGCUGUGAAAGUCCAGGGCUCAACCCUGGGAUGCCGGUGGAUACUGUCGGGCUAGAGUGCGGAAGAGGCGAGUGGAAUUCCUGGUGUAGCGGUGAAAUGCGCAGAUAUCAGGAGGAACACCGAUUGCGAAGGCAGCUCGCUGGGACGUAACUGACGCUGAGACGCGAAAGCGUGGGGAGCAAACAGG
Molecule: ribosomal RNA, 253 nt
Filed under: uncultured bacterium
Lineage: Bacteria
Description: partial 16S ribosomal RNA
Rfam family: Bacterial small subunit ribosomal RNA
Source: RNAcentral